CCUACGGGAGGCAGCAGUGGGGAAUAUUGCACAAUGGGGGGAACCCUGAUGCAUCGACGCCGCGUGAGUGAAGAAGUAUUUCGGUACGUAAAGCUCUAUCAGCAGGGAAGAAAAUGACGGUACCUGACUAAGAAGCCCCGGCUAACUACGUGCCAGCAGCCGCGGUAAUACGGAGGGGGCAAGCGUUAUCCGGAUUUACUGGGUGUAAGGGGAGCGCAGACGGCUGUGCAAGUCUGGAGUGAAAGGCGGGGGCCCAACCCCCGGACUGCUCUGGAAACUGUAAAGCUGGAGUGCAGGAGAGGUAAGCGGAAUUCCUAGUGUAGCGGUGAAAUGCGUAGAUAUUAGGAGGAACACCAGUGGCGAAGGCGGCUUACUGGACUGCAACUGACGUUGAGGCUCGAAAGCGUGGGGAGCAAACAGGAUUAGAUACCCUUGUAGUC
RNAcentral lists this ribosomal RNA (440 nucleotides) under uncultured bacterium. Its description in RNAcentral is "partial 16S ribosomal RNA". It matches the Rfam family "Bacterial small subunit ribosomal RNA", at positions 338 to 795 of the family's 1533-position model. The record is from RNAcentral.